GAUGAACGCUGGCGGCGUGCCUAAUACAUGCAAGUCGAGCGAAAAGAUAAGGAGCUUGCUCCUUUGACGUUAGCGGCGGACGGGUGAGUAACACGUGGGUAACCUACCUAUAAGACUGGAAUAACUCCGGGAAACCGGGGCUAAUGCCGGAUAACAUUUAGAACCGCCUGGUUCUAAAGUGAAAGAUGGUUUUGCUAUCACUUAUAGAUGGACCCGCGCCGUGUUAGCUAGUUGUUAAGGUAACGGCUUACCAAGGCAACGCUACGUAGCCGACCUUAGGGGGUGAUCGGCCACACGGGAACUGAGACACGGUCCAUACGCCUACGGGAGGCAGCAGUAGGGAAUCUUCCGCAAUGGGCGAAAGCCUGACGGAGCAACGCCGCGUGAGUGAUGAAGGUCUUCGGAUCGUAAAACUCUGUUAUUAGGGAAGAACAAAUGUGUAAGUAACUGUGCACGUCUUGACGGUACCUAAUCAGAAAGCCACGGCUAACUACGUG
RNAcentral lists this ribosomal RNA (497 nucleotides) under uncultured bacterium. RNAcentral's name for it is "partial 16S ribosomal RNA". It matches the Rfam family "Bacterial small subunit ribosomal RNA", at positions 28 to 507 of the family's 1533-position model. The record is from RNAcentral.